GACGAACGCUGGCGGCGUGCUUAACACAUGCAAGUCGAACGAAGUGGCAAACGGGUGAGUAACACGUAAACAACCUGCCUUCAGGAUGGGGACAACAGACGGAAACGACUGCUAAUACCGAAUACCUGAAGAGGGGUUUGCGUCUGAUUAGGCAGUUGGUGAGGUAACGGCCCACCAAACCUACGAUCAGUAGCCGGUCUGAGAGGAUGAACGGCCACACUGGAACUGAGACACGGUCCAGACUCCUACGGGAGGCAGCAGUGGGGAAUCUUCCGCAAUGGGCGCAAGCCUGAUGCAGCCAUGCCGCGUGUAUGAAGAAGGCCUUCGGGUUGUAAAGUACUUUCAGCGGGGAGGCGUUACCCGCAGAAGAAGCACCGGCUAACUCCGUGCCAGCAGCCGCGGUAAUACGGAGGGUGCAAGCGUUAAUCGGAAUUACUGGGCGUAAAGCGCACGCAGGCGGUUUGUUAAGUCAGAUGUGAAAUCCCCGGGCUCAACCUGGGAACUGCAUUGAUACUGGCAAGCUUGAGUCUCGUAGAGGGGGGUAGAAUUCC
Molecule: ribosomal RNA, 551 nt
Filed under: uncultured bacterium
Lineage: Bacteria
Description: bacterial SSU rRNA
Rfam family: Bacterial small subunit ribosomal RNA
Source: RNAcentral